Molecule: long non-coding RNA, 697 nt
Filed under: Homo sapiens (human)
Lineage: Eukaryota; Metazoa; Chordata; Mammalia; Primates; Hominidae
Description: HSALNT0283800
Source: RNAcentral
UUUCUGUCUCAGUCUCUCUGUCUCCCUUCGUUCUCUUUCUCUCCCCCUGCUACCCCCCCCCACAGUUACACACACACACACACACACACACACACACACACACACACACACGCAGUGUGAAAGAUGCGAGCCAUAGCAUCUCGUAACAUGAAGGCCAUCCAGCUCCAUCCUCCCACUGCUGCUUGAACAAUAUGCUUAACACGUAGUGCCGCAGUCGCUGCUUGGAUUGAAUGUGUUCAUGCACAGAUUUUAUCAUCUUGUUACUCAAACGACUGAUGGCUUCUGACCCUGCCUGAAAAUUUCCUAAGAGGUAACAGUUCUAGGACACAGAUGCUGGAGGGAGUGGAGGAAGAAGUUUAAUUACCACAUACAGCUCUUCCAUAUGCAAGGUCUCUGGGGCAAAACUGUCAUUCUGUCUGAAGCCAGACCCUCAAUGUCAGACUAAGAGAGUCGGAUGGAGACUACAUCUUCUGUGUGUGUUGCAAUGGGAGGACUUCUCUCCACCGAGUUUAGUGAGGAAUAGCCCCAUGCUUCCUCAAGAAAAAAACACUACACUCACACCACAUACACACCACAAAACAAAGAAUGGGUAAAAAGGGCACACACACACUUUUACAGUUUAUACCAAACCAGAAUCAAAACCAAAACCAGAGUAUCAAGAAAACCAAGCCAGAUCAAAACCAAAACCAAAGUAUCA